Molecule: ribosomal RNA, 308 nt
Filed under: Klebsiella pneumoniae
Lineage: Bacteria; Pseudomonadati; Pseudomonadota; Gammaproteobacteria; Enterobacterales; Enterobacteriaceae
Description: bacterial SSU rRNA
Rfam family: Bacterial small subunit ribosomal RNA
Source: RNAcentral
GGAUUAGAUACCCUGGUAGUCCACGCCGUAAACGAUGUCGAUUUGGAGGUUGUGCCCUUGAGGCGUGGCUUCCGGAGCUAACGCGUUAAAUCGACCGCCUGGGGAGUACGGCCGCAAGGUUAAAACUCAAAUGAAUUGACGGGGGCCCGCACAAGCGGUGGAGCAUGUGGUUUAAUUCGAUGCAACGCGAAGAACCUUACCUGGUCUUGACAUCCACAGAACUUAGCAGAGAUGCUUUGGUGCCUUCGGGAACUGUGAGACAGGUGCUGCAUGGCUGUCGUCAGCUCGUGUUGUGAAAUGUUGGGUUA